UACGGUGGGUGCGAGCGUUGUCCGGAAUCACUGGGCGUAAAGGGCGCGUAGGUGGCGUGAUAAGGGUGUGGUGAAAGCCCGGGGCUCAACCCCGGGUCUGCCAUGCCGACUGUCAGGCUAGAGUACUGUAGGGGCAGGCGGAAUUCCGGGUGUAGCGGUGGAAUGCGUAGAGAUCCGGAGGAAGACCGGUGGCGAAGGCGGCCUGCUGGGCCGACAUUGACGCUCAGGCACGAAAGCGUGGGGAGCAAACAGG
This 253-nucleotide ribosomal RNA is filed under the name uncultured bacterium. RNAcentral's name for it is "partial 16S ribosomal RNA". It matches the Rfam family "Bacterial small subunit ribosomal RNA", at positions 524 to 776 of the family's 1533-position model. The record is from RNAcentral.